UACGGAGGGUGCAAGCGUUAUCCGGAAUCACUGGGUUUAAAGGGUGCGUAGGCGGCGUUGUAAGUCAGAGGUGAAAGGCACGAGCUUAACUGGUGAAUUGCCUUUGAUACUGCAGUGCUUGAAUUAGGUUGAGGUUAGCGGAAUGUGACAUGUAGCGGUGAAAUGCAUAGAUAUGUCAUAGAACACCAAUUGCGUAGGCAGCUAGCUAGGCUUUAAUUGACGCUGAGGCACGAAAGCGUGGGGAGCGAACAGG
This 253-nucleotide ribosomal RNA is filed under the name uncultured bacterium. RNAcentral describes it as "partial 16S ribosomal RNA". It matches the Rfam family "Bacterial small subunit ribosomal RNA", at positions 524 to 776 of the family's 1533-position model. The record is from RNAcentral.